GGGGGCGACUGGCUUCGACGGGGAUAAGUGAGGCGAAGGUGGCAUGCCGAGGUCCCAUUGGCUCGUAAAACAAAUGGGAAAAACGCAAGUGCGGACAAUCACGAACUUGCCUUAGCUGCGUAAGAGCAGCUAACGUCCUUCCUCUACCUCGCCCACGGGAGAGGUAAGGGCGUCGAUGCAGUGGGCUAGCUCUCCUUUCUCUGCUCAGGGGGAAGGAGAGUGAAGACUUUCCUGAGCUGGUAUUCCUCGAUGCCCUGCCUGUGGGGUAAGGGGAAUACGAGAAUCAGAAACGCAGGCUAAGCAUGUAGAAGCCUUCUGCCGAAGAUCUCCGGACGCGGGUUCGAUUCCCGCCGCCUCCACCA
This 362-nucleotide transfer-messenger RNA is filed under the name Nitrospinota bacterium. Its description in RNAcentral is "Nitrospinae bacterium transfer-messenger RNA". It matches the Rfam family "transfer-messenger RNA". Rfam says of the family: Bacterial tmRNA, also known as 10Sa RNA or SsrA, is named for its dual tRNA and mRNA-like properties. Its role is to liberate the mRNA from a stalled ribosome. Lineage: Bacteria; Pseudomonadati; Nitrospinota. RNAcentral also lists the same sequence under 1 other name. The record is from RNAcentral.